GUGACCCACGAUAAAUGGAUCAUAAAGUUUUUAAAAAAGAAUAGAUACCAUUGCAUUUGCAUUUAAUAACAGAUGCGAUCAUACCAGCACUAAUGCACCGGAUCCCAUUAGAACUCCGCAGUUAAGCAUGCUUCGGCGAGAGUAGUACUAGGAUGGGUGACCUCCCGGAAUGUCCUCGUGUUGCAUCCCUC
RNAcentral lists this ribosomal RNA (191 nucleotides) under Arabidopsis thaliana (thale cress). The record is from RNAcentral. Lineage: Eukaryota; Viridiplantae; Streptophyta; Magnoliopsida; Brassicales; Brassicaceae.